Molecule: ribosomal RNA, 468 nt
Filed under: uncultured bacterium
Lineage: Bacteria
Description: partial 16S ribosomal RNA
Rfam family: Bacterial small subunit ribosomal RNA
Source: RNAcentral
GACGAACGCUGGCGGCGUGCUUAACACAUGCAAGUCGAACGGAAAGGCCCUGCUUUUGUGGGGUGCUCGAGUGGCGAACGGGUGAGUAACACGUGAGUAACCUGCCCUUGACUUUGGGAUAACUUCAGGAAACUGGGGCUAAUACCGGAUAGGAGCUCCUGCUGCAUGGUGGGGGUUGGAAAGUUUCGGCGGUUGGGGAUGGACUCGCGGCUUAUCAGCUUGUUGGUGGGGUAGUGGCGUACCAAGGCUUUGACGGGUAGCCGGCCGGAGAGGGUGACCGGCCACAUUGGGACUGAGAUACCGCCCAGACUCCUACGGGAGGCAGCAGUGGGGAAUAUUGCACGAUGGGCGGAAGCCUGAUGCAGCAACGCCGCGUGCGGGAUGACGGCCUUCGGGUUGUAAACCGCUUUCGCCUGUGACGAAGCGUGAGUGACGGUAAUGGGUAAAGAAGCACCGGCUAACUACGUG